This 858-nucleotide ribosomal RNA is filed under the name Triticum aestivum (bread wheat). RNAcentral describes it as "partial small subunit ribosomal RNA". Lineage: Eukaryota; Viridiplantae; Streptophyta; Magnoliopsida; Poales; Poaceae. The record is from RNAcentral.
CGGAAACCAGCGCCGGCUCCACCCACCUUCCCCGCCGCCAUAAAAACUGGCCAGCGUCGCCGCGCCACACUGGCCCCUCUCCACCCCGAUGUGGAUGCCUCCCCACCAGCUCCCUCCCCAUCAACUCCCUGCUAGCCACCUCCCCGUGCCCCACUUCCCUCCCCGCACCGCCCCACCUCCCUCCCCACCUUCUCCAGCGCGGCGCGCCCCUACCCUUCUCACCUUCUCCGGCAGCGCCGCCCACAACCACCUCCGACAGCGUCCCACAAGAACCACCUCUCUACGCCGGUCGUCGCCCUCCUCUUUCUCAAGCGCCAUCCAGCCGGUCAUGGCGGGAUCCGGCCGCCCACGGUCGCCGACGCGGCCUUAGCCACCAGAUCCGGCUGCCCUCGGCCGCCGGUGUGGCCUUAGCCUCCCUCGGCCGAAUCCAUCGGCUGCCGAAUCCAGCGCCGGCAAGCGGAUGGGCCGCCACCCCUGCAACACCGUAGAGAGAUCCGGUGGGUUGCCUCCGCGCCCACUUCUCCUCCGCCUCCCUCUCGAGAAAACUCCUCUUCCCACGGAUCCAUCAGCCACCGAAUCCCGCGCCAACUGGCUGCUGCGGCCCCACGCCACCAGAUCCUGUCAAGGGGUUGCUCCGUCGGGCUUCUACCGACGAGAUGGCGGCAGGAGGUCACCUCCUCCGUGCAGUGCACACCGAUGCACAUGCAGUUCAUCAACACAGCGCGCAAACCCCCCACACCGGUUCACUGCCAUAGCAGUUUGGUGUGUGUGCCAAACAAGUCUUGCAAUUCCAUUACACUCUCCUCUGGUAGGAGCCUGCCCAGCCUCUGCUUCAUCCACUUGGUGAGCAAUUCCAAC